Molecule: long non-coding RNA, 2030 nt
Filed under: Mus musculus (house mouse)
Lineage: Eukaryota; Metazoa; Chordata; Mammalia; Rodentia; Muridae
Description: RIKEN cDNA 2610307P16 gene
Source: RNAcentral
GGAGAGAGGAGGAAGGGGUGAGAGGGAGAAACCUGCCGCGGCUCUCCGCCUCUUUGUCUGCUCUGGGACUUGGAACAAAAGGGGAAACUCUGAUGAACUCCUUCUCCAGCUCCCUGGACGCCCGAGUAUCUCUUUCUCGCAACUUUGUCAACGCGACUUUCUCCGCUGUCAGGCUGCGCAAAAGUAUCCUAGCGCCUCGCAGGCUGCAACAAUGGAAACAAUGUCCCUUCAAAGUGCGACGAAGUGGAGGGAGAAGGUGUCAUACCAGCGACUCCAAGAGUCAUGUCACCCACUUAGCAGGAGUACUUCUACUGAAAUGCCUUCGAAUUUCUCUUACUGGAUAUAUACCUACCAGCCGCUAGCAUGAAGAUGCCAGGACCGCUGCAAGUUAGCACUGGACAAAGUAGCAUCAACUUCUUCAUUUAGAGUUUCUUCAGUUAAAUUGCUGGGAUUUUCGACAAGGCUUUCCUUAUGUGGAUUAUUGGAGUGUGAUGCCCGAGAAUUCUCUACUUGUAGAAGCACGCCCACGGGACUGCAGAAGCCUUCACACCCACCCAGCACGCUCAGAUCAUCCAGUAACCAACCCAGGAAGUUCUUGUAAGCAUGCAUUUCUUAGUCAACACUGAAUGCCUUUAGACCGAGGUCAACCUUUUCAGCUGGUACCGUGGUUUACACUGCUGGGUUGAUGGCCUAACACUGGCUUAACACUCAUGUCGGCUGCACUAAUUGAAGUCACAUCCAAGUGGGUCAAUGCACUGAACAUAUCUGAUAUAGAAGGUCCCAGAUCCUGAAUUUUUAUCAAUGGUUUGCUGUAUAAGGCUUGCCUCCCAAAUAGCUGAGGACCCUUAUUUGGGAAGAUACGUUCUGAUGGUUAAGCAACAGCACAGAUGUCGAUGGGAAUGAGUGAUGGCCAUCCAGUGACCAGCUGGAUCUGACUGCCUUACAAGACGCAUGUGUAUGAUUAAGAGAGAGACAUUCGUGACUCCCAGAUGUACCUCCUUCCUGUCCCACAGUGUUCCUGAAGGGAGUGAGUUAUGGGGUAACUUAUAACACAGCAGGCUCUUCCUCAAGAUAGCUCUUGUCAAAACAGGAAGACGAAACUCGGGUUUCCAUGAGGAGACCACAGCUUGGGAUCCUGUCUGGAUGUACAAGCAGAAGCAUCUUCAUACUUUUCCAUUUCUAACCAUCAUGCCUCACCCCACCCUCCCAAGGCGACAUCUGCAGAGAGGUGGAACCAUCUAGGGAGGCCUGCCACUGUUUGCUGAGCUCCGGGUGAGGAUGAAGACACUUUGACAUGGCCAGCUUCAGACUCGGGAUCUGUCGGUGUUAGCAGCCGAAGGAGAAUGAGGAGGAAGAGGAGGAGAAAGAGGAGGAGGAAGUAAGACAGAGGGGGACAAGAGGACCAAGAGGGCACAUGGCUGAGGAGGAGGAGAACAACAACAACAACAACAACAACAACAACAACAAGAAGCUUGGUGGACUCUGGAAUUGGCUAAAGAGAUGAUGACAAACCUUCUCCAGCCAGUGGCCAUGGAUUAGACUUUUUCAGGAUGUGUUCCUGAGUCUCGUGAGUAGCACAUGGCAGUUGUUGUCACCUUGGGCUGAGCCGUGAAGAUUCUCACCCUCCCUUGUUGGGGAUGAACUCCGGGAUUCUAAGGAGAGGUCAGCAGGUGUUUCACAGACUGUUCCUGUUGGAGGAUUUGUCUGAUACUCUUCUCCUGAUUAGUCUGGGCUCUACAUUUCCCCAAGGGUGAAACUUGGAAGCCCUCUCCAGGAUGCAGCAGGUAGCUGAGGAGAAAACGAAGACUGACCAGCCCAGAGCUCAGAGCUUCCUCCCAUGCUCAGGAUUUACCACCAAUGCCAUUACAUCGGCCUCUUCUUGUAUGCCUCUGGAAACCACAUGUGUCCUCUGUUUGUAAUGGUUUGGCUAUGGUUGCUGGCCCCUCUUGGACAUUGUUUUCAGAACUUAAAGAAACAUUGCUUUAAAGAUUUAUUAGAACAUAUUUAAAAUAAAACCAUCUUCUCAUUUA